CUAGUAUAAGCAAUCUAUACGGUGAACUGCGAAUGGCUCAUUAAAUCAGUUAUCGUUUAUUUGAUAGUACCUUACUACUUGGAUAACCGUGGUAAUUCUAGAGCUAAUACAUGCUAAAAACCCCGACUUCGGAAGGGGUGUAUUUAUUAGAUAAAAAACCAAUGCCCUUCGGGGCUCCUUGGUGAUUCAUAAUAACUUAACGAAUCGCAUGGCCUUGUGCCGGCGAUGGUUCAUUCAAAUUUCUGCCCUAUCAACUUUCGAUGGUAGGAUAGUGGCCUACCAUGGUUUCAACGGGUAACGGGGAAUUAGGGUUCUAUUCCGGAGAGGGAGCCUGAGAAACGGCUACCACAUCCAAGGAAGGCAGCAGGCGCGCAAAUUACCCAAUCCCGACACGGGGAGGUAGUGACAAUAAAUACUGAUACAGGGCUCUUUUGGGUCUUGUAAUUGGAAUGAGUACAAUUUAAAUCCCUUAACGAGGAACAAUUGGAGGGCAAGUCUGGUGCCAGCAGCCGCGGUAAUUCCAGCUCCAAUAGCGUAUAUUAAAGUUGUUGCAGUUAAAAAGCUCGUAGUUGAACCUUGGGCCUGGCUGGCCGGUCCGCCUCACCGCGUGCACUGGUCCGGCCGGGUCUUUCCUUCUGGGGAGCCGCAUGCCCUUCACUGGGUGUGUCGGGGAACCAGGACUUUUACUUUGAAAAAAUUAGAGUGUUCAAAGCAGGCCUAUGCUCGAAUACAUUAGCAUGGAAUAAUAGAAUAGGACGUGUGGUUCUAUUUUGUUGGUUUCUAGGACCGCCGUAAUGAUUAAUAGGGAUAGUCGGGGGCAUCAGUAUUCAAUUGUCAGAGGUGAAAUUCUUGGAUUUAUUGAAGACUAACUACUGCGAAAGCAUUUGCCAAGGAUGUUUUCAUUAAUCAGUGAACGAAAGUUAGGGGAUCGAAGACGAUCAGAUACCGUCGUAGUCUUAACCAUAAACUAUGCCGACUAGGGA
This 983-nucleotide ribosomal RNA is filed under the name Pseudogymnoascus sp. RNAcentral describes it as "SSU rRNA". It matches the Rfam family "Eukaryotic small subunit ribosomal RNA", at positions 60 to 1052 of the family's 1831-position model. The record is from RNAcentral. Lineage: Eukaryota; Fungi; Ascomycota; Leotiomycetes; Thelebolales; Thelebolaceae.